RNAcentral lists this ribosomal RNA (396 nucleotides) under uncultured bacterium. RNAcentral's name for it is "partial 16S ribosomal RNA". It matches the Rfam family "Bacterial small subunit ribosomal RNA", at positions 523 to 917 of the family's 1533-position model. The record is from RNAcentral.
AUACGUAGGGGGCGAGCGUUGUCCGGAAUGAUUGGGCGUAAAGGGCGCGUAGGCGGCCCGGUAAGUCUGGAGUGAAAGUCCUGUUUUUAAGAUGGGAAUUGCUUUGGAUACUGUCGGGCUUGAGUGCAGGAGAGGUAAGUGGAAUUCCCAGUGUAGCGGUGAAAUGCGUAGAAAUUGGGAGGAACACCAGUGGCGAAGGCGACUUACUGGACUGUAACUGACGCUGAGGCGCGAAAGUGUGGGGAGCAAACAGGAUUAGAUACCCCGGUAGUCCACACUGUAAACGAUGAAUGCUAGGUGUAGGGGGUAUCGACCCCUUCUGUGCCGCAGUCAACACAAUAAGCAUUCCGCCUGGGGAGUACGGCCGCAAGGUUGAAACUCAAAUGAAUUGGCGGG